This 221-nucleotide ribosomal RNA is filed under the name uncultured bacterium. RNAcentral's name for it is "partial 16S ribosomal RNA". It matches the Rfam family "Bacterial small subunit ribosomal RNA", at positions 524 to 742 of the family's 1533-position model. The record is from RNAcentral.
UACGUAGGCAGCAAGCGUUGUUCGGAGUUACUGGGCGUAAAGGGUGCGUAGGCGGCCCUGUAAGUAUGGUGUGAAAUCUCCCGGCUUAACUGGGAGGGUGCGCUAUAGACUGCGGGGCUCGAGUGUGGGAGAGGAAAGUGGAAUUCCUGGUGUAGCGGUGAAAUGCGUAGAUAUCGAGGAGGAACACCGGUGGUGUAAACGGCUUUCUGGACCAUAAACUG